UCCAACCUCCCACCCGUGUUUAUUUUACCUUGUUGCUUCGGCGGGCCCGCCUUAACUGGCCGCCGGGGGGCUUACGCCCCCGGGCCCGCGCCCGCCGAAGACACCCUCGAACUCUGUCUGAAGAUUGAAGUCUGAGUGAAAAUAUAAAUUAUUUAAAACUUUCAACAACGGAUCUCUUGGUUCCGGCAUCGAUGAAGAACGCAGCAAAAUGCGAUACGUAAUGUGAAUUGCAAAUUCAGUGAAUCAUCGAGUCUUUGAACGCACAUUGCGCCCCCUGGUAUUCCGGGGGGCAUGCCUGUCCGAGCGUCAUUGCUGCCCUCAAGCCCGGCUUGUGUGUUGGGCCCCGUCCCCCGAUCUCCGGGGGACGGGCCCGAAAGGCAGCGGCGGCACCGCGUCCGGUCCUCGAGCGUAUGGGGCUUUGUCACCCGCUCUGUAGGCCCGGCCGGCGCUUGCCGAUCAACCCAAAUUUUUAUCCAGGUUGACCUCGGAUCAGGUAGGGAUACCCGCUGAACUUAAGCAUAUCAAUAAGCGGAGGAA
This 537-nucleotide ribosomal RNA is filed under the name Penicillium crustosum. RNAcentral's name for it is "eukaryotic LSU rRNA". The stretch from base 157 to 309 matches the Rfam family "5.8S ribosomal RNA". Lineage: Eukaryota; Fungi; Ascomycota; Eurotiomycetes; Eurotiales; Aspergillaceae. The record is from RNAcentral.